AUGCAUGUGUGGGGGUAUGUGUAGACCAGAGACCAAUGCAGGGUGCCCUUCUCCAUCAUUCUCCCUCAUCCUUUUUCAGACUAGUAUGAAGCGAGAGCUCAUCAAUUUGACUAGUCUGACUUGCCAGUGAGUCUGGGGAUCUGUUUGUCUCCACCUCUGCAGAACUGGGAUUUGGAGGACUUAUCUCCAUUCUCAGUUUUCAUGCUCAUGCUAGGAACCCAAACAUAGGUCUUAAUGUGGGUGUGUCAAGUAACUGAGCCAUCUCCACAGCUAUGAAAAGUGGCCAGAGCUGGGGUGCAUUUCUUCUAGAGCCAGGAGAGAACACGUACUUAACAUGCAUACAGCCUUGAGAUCAAUGAACAAAACCAUCCCUAAACUAAACCAAACCAAACCAAACCAAACCCAAAACAUUAAAGAGCUAUUCUUUAUACAAGCAGUGAAUGCAUGAAAUGAUUCAGACUUCAGUCUUUUGAUUUCUUGAAAUAUCUAGUGGAUUUGUAUAGACAGAAUGUUCUGGUUUGAAGGAGAAAGGAUCCCAGAGGAUCCCAUGUUUGAGUACUUGGUCUACAGUUGGUAUAAUAGGUUGAGAGGAAUUAAGAGGUAUGUUACUUGUUGUUGGGGGACUUUGAUGUUUCAAAAGCCCACCCCCUUCCCACUUAGCUCUCCCUGACUCAUGCUUGUGGAUCAAGAGGAGAGUUCACAUCUGCUGCUCCAACACUAUGAUUGACUGCCUGCAGUCAUGCACACAAACAUGACAGUCAUGUAGUCUAACCCUCUUAAAUUGUGAGUCCCCAAUAAAAUUUUCUUUUAUAAAUUCCCUUGGUCAAGGUGUCUUAUCACAGUAAUAAAAAUAGAUAGCAAUAGCAGAGUAUAUCAUUACUAAGCUUGCAAGUAUAAUGCAAAUAUUGGCAAUGUCUUUGAAUGAAUUUCUUCUCAAAGAUGACAUGAAUUUAGAAGUGUUUGUGCUCUUUGCAUGAGUUCAUCUUACUAGAGACACUAUCUGUCCUGGUGUGUUUACUUAUCAAAUGCUUUACCGGACCACACACUCUGGAAACACAGAGCUAUAGUUCUGUCCAUCUUUUAUACAUGGUAAGUAUGCGAUAAGGAUUCUCUCUGUUUCUGUUUGUGUGUAUAUCACCAUGUAUGUAUAUAUGGAGAGCAGAGAUCUAUGUCAUAUGUAUUACUUUGUCACUCUGUUAACCCACAUUUUAUUGAGAAAAGAUCUCUCACUAAAUCUGGAGCUCAGGGACUUGACAAGAAUAACUGCUUAGCAAGCCCAAGAGAUUUUCCUGUCUCUUGAUUUCCUGAUACUCAAAUGGUAAGUGCAGAAUACCAUCACUCUAUCAUCAGGUGUGUGUUGGAGAUCCAAAUUCAGAUCUUUAUGUUUGUACAGCAAGCAUUUUGCUGUUUGAGCCAUCUCCCAUUUUCUUCAUUAAGUCUUUUUGAAUCAAUGCAUAAAAUGUAUAACUUAUUAAGUAUGUACUAAAAUGUAUUCUUGGUACCCAGUACCUUUUUCUAUCAAUUUCUUUCCUGAGAUUUGGUGAUAUUUGAGACUAAAAUUGUUUAUCUACAAAUACAGUUCACUGGCAUAAAACAGAAAAAAGUCUUUUCUACAACAUCAAGAGAUGUCUGUUAUGAUAUAAAAAAUAAACAACAACUCCUUUCCCCCUAAUAGAGUCUGCCAUCUUCAUUAACCCCCUGCCUCAUCUGAGAAAUGGCUUCAGUAAGGGGUUAGAAAGUCUACGAAAAUGAUUUCUGUUAUGACAAAUUUUCAAAUACUCUCCCCAGAGCUUGAAAACUUGUAACAGAGAGAAGGAAAGUCAUGUGAGGAGCAGGUUGUACCUUACAUUCUCUUGUGGUACUGUAAGCCAUCUUUCUCCCAGGAACCCUUUCUAGAAUACAUUUGGGUACAAAGACAGAAUAGAGUUACAUUUGAAAAAUCUAUAGUAAAGAGUCAACUACUACACUGGAAAAACCAGAGACUAAAGUCAUGCUUUCCUGGUAGGCAGUUUACAUAUGUACUCUGAAAUAUACUUCCAUUUUAAAUAUUAUUUUCAUCUUUUGCUCUGAAAUAAUUUUAGAUUUACUGAAAAACUGUAGACCGUAUUAGGUUCCUUUAUCAUGUUUACCCAGUUUCCUAAUGUUAAAAUAUUGCAUAGCCAUAAUACUUUCAUUGAAACUUAAAAGAAUAACAUUUAUGCAUGGUCUUUAGCUAUAGAGUUUAUUCAGAUUUUACAGUCUUUGAUCCAGGAUAGUGUACUUUACACAGUGUUUCUUUCCUUUAAUGUUCUCCAAUCUAUAGCUGUCCAGAACACAUUGGAAAAGGCAGAUAAUAUCUUUCUGUGUACUGACCCUGAGCUUCCAAUAUAGCCCAGCCUAGCCUCUGUCCAUAAUUCUGCUUCAGCUUCUGAAAUAACAUGUGUAUUUCACAAUGCCUGUACAUAAAUAUUUUUUAAUUGAUGGUACUAUUUAAGGGAUGAGGAUCCAUUUCAGAAGUAGAGAUUUCACAUAAUAUCCAUCCCCAGCAUGGCCAGCGAAUAAAUAAAGAAAAAGUCCAUGCUUACUGACAGGAGCCUGAUAGAGCUGUCUCCUGAGAGGCUCUGCCAGAUCCUGACCAAUACUGAUGCGGAUGCUCCCAGCCAACCAUCGGACUGAGCACAGGAACCCCAAUGGAGGAGUUAGGAGAAGACUGAAGGAGCUGAAGGGGCCUUAUCUGCCAUCAACGUGAGGAGAAUGCCUUGGUCCUAUGAAGGCUUGAUGCCCCAGUGUAGAGGAAUACUAGGGUGGUGAGGUAGGAGUGGUUAGGUGGGUUGGGGAGCACCUUCAUAGAAGCAGGGUAAGGGGGGGGUAUAGGAUAGAGGAUUUGCAGAGGGGAAAUUUAGAAAAGGGAUAACAUUUGAAAUGUAAGUAAAUAAAAUAUCCAUUUUUUUUUAAAGAAUGGUCAAUUGGGAAAGAGUUGGAAGAUGUGAAUAGAUAUAUUCAAAACUCAUUAAAAAAAG
This 2999-nucleotide long non-coding RNA is filed under the name Mus musculus (house mouse). RNAcentral describes it as "long non-coding RNA chr12:90004242-90007241". Lineage: Eukaryota; Metazoa; Chordata; Mammalia; Rodentia; Muridae. The record is from RNAcentral.